Molecule: ribosomal RNA, 434 nt
Filed under: uncultured bacterium
Lineage: Bacteria
Description: partial 16S ribosomal RNA
Rfam family: Bacterial small subunit ribosomal RNA
Source: RNAcentral
AGCGAACGCUGGCGGCAGGCCUAACACAUGCAAGUCGAACGAACCUUUCGGGGUUAGUGGCGGACGGGUGAGUAACACGUGGGAACGUGCCUUUAGGUUCGGAAUAACUCAGGGAAACUUGUGCUAAUACCGAAUGUGCCCUUCGGGGGAAAGAUUAAUCGCCUUUAGAGCGGCCCGCGUCUGAUUAGCUAGUUGGUUGAGGUAAUGGCUCACCAAGGCGACGAUCAGUAGCUGGUCUGAGAGGAUGAUCAGCCACAUUGGGACUGAGACACGGCCCAAACUCCUACGGGAGGCAGCAGUGGGGAAUCUUGCGCAAUGGGCGAAAGCCUGACGCAGCCUUGCCGCGUGAAUGAUGAAGGUCUUAGGAUUGUAAAAUUCUUUCACCGGGGACGAUAAUGACGGUACCCGGAGAAGAAGCCCCGGCUAACUUCGUG